Long non-coding RNA from Pomacea canaliculata, 500 nucleotides. RefSeq lists it as uncharacterized. The transcript has 2 exons. The record is from RefSeq and is a predicted model, not a curated record. NCBI's taxonomy places the organism in Eukaryota, Metazoa, Mollusca, Gastropoda, Architaenioglossa, Ampullariidae.
UUUUACUUGCUCACACGGCGUCCAAAGGAAGCAUAUAUUUAAAUGAGGAAUCACGUGUCUGAGCACCCAUCGAACUUUGACAUUGUCUCCGUAGACCGAGGUCUGACUUCUGACAAUAUCUUCGAGUCAUCAAUCACCACCUUCCAUUCCGCAUAUGAAAAUGCUGCAGCUUCUGAUCUGCGUUUUAUUGGUGACCUCGCUUGCCCUGGCGUCUGUCAACGCUUAUCCAAUGUCAGCGCAAGACAUUACACAAGAUGAAGACUUGGAAAGCCCACAAGAGAUUAUAGACAAAGCUGUGAAUUUUGCCAAAGGAAAAAUUAUUAAGUUGAGCAAAUCUUUAUCUAGAAAAUCCUGGGGUUGAAAAAGGCACAGAUUAUCAUCCAUUUGGAUGUCCAGCGAUGAUGAGUACGCAACUAAAGAUUGUCUGCCGCAGAGACCUGGCAGUAGUGCAUUGAUAGGUCUGUAUCAGUCGUUUAAUAAAUGGCUGUUUUAGAUCAUGA